This 774-nucleotide ribosomal RNA is filed under the name Candidatus Panilichlamydia rohitae. RNAcentral's name for it is "bacterial SSU rRNA". It matches the Rfam family "Bacterial small subunit ribosomal RNA", at positions 42 to 796 of the family's 1533-position model. The record is from RNAcentral. Lineage: Bacteria; Pseudomonadati; Chlamydiota; Chlamydiia; Parachlamydiales; Candidatus Parilichlamydiaceae.
GCGUGGAUGAGGCAUGCAAGUCGAACGGAAUUGAGUGCAAACUCAAUUCAGUGGCGGAAGGGUUAGUAAUGCAUAGGUAACGUGCCGCAACCCUGGGGAUAACACUUGGAAACGAGUGCUAAUACCGAAUGUCGUUCUUCCUCGGCAUCGAGAAAGAAUGAAAGCGGGGGACCCUGAGAGGGGCCUUGCGGGUUGUGAGCGGCUUAUGUGGUAUCAGCUUGUUGGUGAGGUAACUGCUCACCAAGGCUGAGACGCCUAGGCGGACUGGGAGGUCGAUCGCCAACACUGGGACUGAGAACUGCCCAGACUCCUACGGGAGGCUGCAGUCGAGAAUCUUUCGCAAUGGGCGCAAGCCUGACGAAGCGACGCCGUGUGUGUGAUGAAGGUUUUAGGAUCGUAAAACACUUUCGCCCGUGGGCUAGGUUUGCUUUCCAAUAAAAAGCAAACUUGAGAGUAGCGGGUAAAGAAGCGCCGGCCAACUGCGUGCCAGCAGCUGCGGUAAUACGUGGGGCGCAAGCAUUAAUCGGAUUUAUUGGGUGUAAAGGGUGCGUAGGCGGCUAUGCAAGUUGGAUGUAAAAUUCCGGGGUUCAUCUCCGGGCUGCAUUCAAAACUGCAUAGCUAGAGUGUAAGAGGGGAAAGCGGAAUUCCACAAGUAGCGGUGAAAUGCGUAGAUAUGUGGAGGAACACCGGUGGCGAAGGCGGCUUUCUGGAUUAUUACUGACGCUGAGGCACGAAAGCAUGGGGAGCAAACAGGAUUAGAUACCCUGGUAGUCC